Molecule: long non-coding RNA, 3302 nt
Organism: Aethina tumida (small hive beetle)
Lineage: Eukaryota; Metazoa; Arthropoda; Insecta; Coleoptera; Nitidulidae
Exons: 2
Source: RefSeq, a predicted model, not a curated record
UUGACUCGAGGGUAGCCCCAUGUGGGCACUCUUGGUCUGACGGCCAAUUUCGAAAUUGUUGUUGAGUUUUUGUUUUGUGAUGUCCCCAGUUAGUGAAGUUAGUGAUGUCCACGAAAAUUCAGGGAAAGAAGGCAUCGUUUUAAAAGAUGUAAUCUGGAAGAGUGCCGGACGAUAGUUUAAGGCACACGAUGACCGAUAAUGAGUCGCACUUCUCAGGGCAAAACGUUAGUUACGUUUACGUUAUUCCAUAUAGUCUAUGACAAUGUUGUUUUGUUGAAACAUGUUGUUGACCGUAUCACCAAACACUUGGCUUAAAAUUGAAGAACCAACCCAUUGGCUGCAGAAAACCCCAUAGUUCUCUCCACUGACCGUAAGAAUUUGUUGUUACCCACUUUUUAUGUUUGUUUGUUAACCAUUGUUGCUGUGUUGUUGAAGCUGUUGAGUUUUUGUUAAGUUUGGGCAUCAAAUGCUCAACCCGUUUUGUUAUUUGUUAAGUUUUUAAAACCAUCCACCCUUUUCCACCCGUUGUUGCCGUUCCGUAUUUGUUAAGUUUAAGUUAUUUGUUUCACUGCUUUACGCAUUCUGUUACGUAUCUGUUCACCGUUCUGUUGCAUCAGUUUCUGUUAUAUAUCUGUUCUGUUUUCCUGUUACAUUUGAACCACGUAUUUUGUUAUUCUGUUACGUUUGAAACCCGCCGUUUGUUACAGUACAAGCUGUUUCUGUUUUCUUUGAUUUUCUGUUAUACUCCGGAUUCUGUUACAAACUGCAUUUGUUAAUACAGUUUAAUCAUUUUAAUUGACUCUAUCAAGUCAUUAUCAAGUGAUAAUUUACGUAUGCAACUUAUGUCGCAAAGUUUUAAAUUGAUUAAACAUUUGUUUAGUUGUGUUUCCCGUUACUGUUAUCUUAUUAAUUGUUAUAGAAAUCCGUUACUAAAAAUCAAAUGCCAUAAAUAUCCGAAAGGUCUCGUUUAACCUUCCGAAUUAGAAAAAAUAAAUUACAUAUAAAUCAAAUUAAAAUGCCAUUACAUUUUAUAAAAAGCAAAUCCAUUUUAAAAGUAAAAAAAUCAAUUAACUGUUACUGUUACUAAAAAAGAAAUAUGUUAUUUGUUAUUAUUCGUUGUUAUCAUAUUGUGUUAAACAAAUCGCUGAGCUCUUAUAUUUGUUUUACUAAUUUUUUUUUCAUCUAAGUCUGUUGCCAAUAAUAACAAGUUUGGGGGUCAUUAAAUAUUAAAAAGAAAAAUGUAUUAUAAUGUUGUUUAUUACUUUUGUCUAACAACAAUACUAAAGUAAGCCUUCUAUUUUGUUUAUCCAAAUUGCAUACUAAUUUCUCUAAACCAACCAUAUUGCAGUAAACACACCAAGUGCUUAUUUAUAAUUGACAUGGAAAAUUAAUUACGGCCCAUCUGAAGACAUUCUUAUUAUUAUUAAUAAUAUAAAUACUUCUCAAUAAAUUUUAUUUAUUUUUGGAAUUAUUUUUUGCAUGGUAUUCGAUUUUUAUUUUAUUUUUUUACAUAUUUUUCUGUAUUGAUAUUCGAAUGAAUGCAUGUUGAUCAAAAUUACCGUUUUUCUUUAUUUUUUAUUUGUUUAUUUUUUAUUAUUUAUUUUGCAUGUUUUUUUCAAGUUCUGUUUUUAUUUAUUUAUUUUUUAUUAUUUAUUUUGCAUGUUUUUUCAAUUUCUACUUUUCAACAAUCUAAUGAAUGCAUGAUUAAAAAAUUCCUUUUUCAUUUAUUUUAUAACAUGUUUAUUUUUGCAUCUUUUUUAUUUUUCAUUUUUAUUUAUUUUAUUAUAUUUCAUUUUUAAUUUCUGUUUUUUUUGCAUGCACAUAUUUUUAGUUUACUUUUUAUCUAUUUUAUUUUUAUUUUUUUGUUUAAAUUUAAUUUAUUUUAAUUUCUGCUUUUUGCAUGCAUAUGUUUUUUAUUUAUUUAUUUUUAUUAAUCCAAAAUGAGUAAAAUAUUCUACAACAAAAUUUAAAAAGUAAUCGAUAAUUAGAAGGCGAAAAAUUAUAGAAACAAUAAUUUUAUGAAAAGUAAAAUGAAGAUGAGAGCUCAUUUAUAAAGAUGCUAAUGUUAGUGAACACAAAUAAAUUGCAUAAUCAACAAUAUGCUAACUACCAAAAAAAAUUUUACCUUUUUUACUAUUUAUUUAACGUUAAUUUUUAUUUCUCCUUUAGUUCAUUUUGUUUUAUUUUAUUUUAUUUUGUUACUUUUAUGUUUUUUAUUUUCGUGUGUUUUACCAAAAGAACCAAUGAAUUGAAAGAAAAACAAAAAAAAAAAAAAUAAACACCUCACGGUUUAUAUUAAUUUUUUACAUUUCAGUUUCAUUUCACUUUAUUAUUUGUGAGGUUUUUUAUUUAGUUAACCAAAAAUUAUAUUUUAUUUUGGUCAUUAUUAUUUUAAUUUCGCAGGAAAAUGGAUCUGUUUUUAUUUUAAUUUUAUGUUUUUAAUUUCGUGUGUUUUACCAAAAGAACCAAUGUUAUAAAAAAAAACAAAAAAAAAAUACCUCACAUUUCUUUUAAUUUUGUAUUAUUUUAUUUUUCAUUCAUUAAUUUCAAAAAUACAUGUGGGGUUCUUUAUUUUAUUAAUACAAAAUUAUGGUUUAGUUUUCCAUUAUUUUUUAUUUUUGCAGUCAAAGUAAUAUUCAGGAAUUUUUUGUCAAAAAAUAAUAUAAUAAAUAAAAUUUUAUAUAAUAAUUUUGUGUGUGACAAUUAAUUUUAAGACAAAAAUUUGUAUGUCUAAAUUCAGUAACGUAAGGUUUCUUUAAUUUUAAGUUUAUUAGGUUUAAGGUAUAUAUGUAUCUAAUCGUAUUUUCUAUGUCUUAGUAUCAUGUUUAGUUUAGUAUUUAAGAUUCAUGUAUUGGUUACCGUGUGCCUUAUUUUGUAAAUUUGUAAUUGCUUCUUAUAAUUUUUCAUUUAACAAGAUUUAUUCUUUUGGAAAAGUACACGGAAAAUUUCAAAAACUGGCUAACAUGUUAAUUGUUUGACUAGCCCUUUCUGAUUUUUUCUGUGUCAUCCAAAAGAACGAAUUUUUAUAUGUAUGUGUUGUUAUAUUUUCGUUGAUUUUUUGUUGUAUAUUUCACAAAAGGGCAGUACACUUGAGAAAAGUACAAGACAUCAUACCAAACAAUAGUUGUAUUUUAUCAUGUGUCUAAAAUUCGAAAUUGUGUCACAUUUUUGUUUUCUUAUUAAGUUUUUGUUUUGUUUUUGUUUUAUUUUGAUUUAUAUAAUUUAUUUUUGUUAUUGUUUUUAUUAUUUUUCUGUAUAUAUUGUACAUAGCAUUGUAUAUAAUAAAGAGGAGCUUAAUUGCA